RNAcentral lists this long non-coding RNA (443 nucleotides) under Macaca mulatta (Rhesus monkey). Its description in RNAcentral is "lncRNA (ENSMMUG00000043958.2)". Lineage: Eukaryota; Metazoa; Chordata; Mammalia; Primates; Cercopithecidae. The record is from RNAcentral.
AUUGCAUCUUGAGUUCUGUAUCACAGAGAAGAAAGCACAAUUCUUAGUAGCUCUCAAGGUUAUGGAGACAACACAUUCUAUACAAUGGGAAAACUGCUCUGUCCCAUCCAUGCGGUGAAUGAGGACUAGGUCAGGAAGGUGUUCUGCAAGCAUUGGAAUAAAUAACAGAAGGAAUAUACUAUAUAGAUAUAAAUCAUCAUCCUGUGCAAACAUUACUUAAACUCAGCUCUGUCAAGAGAAGAGUUCCCAAGUCAAAUACAUCAAUAGUAGCAGGUAAGAGUUGAUUAAAUGUGUAGUAGAAAUACUAAGUUUGUACCUGUCCACCUGAUGUAACCUCACUGGUUAAACUCAUCUCACUGAUGAGACAGGGAGAAUCACAACUCCCAGUGGACACAUUCUCUGAGCGUCAAAUAUCCAUUCUGAUUUGGAAUCUUGUUUUCAAG